Pipistrellus kuhlii (Kuhl's pipistrelle) is the source of this 546-nucleotide long non-coding RNA. RefSeq lists it as uncharacterized. The transcript has 3 exons. The record is from RefSeq and is a predicted model, not a curated record. NCBI's taxonomy places the organism in Eukaryota, Metazoa, Chordata, Mammalia, Chiroptera, Vespertilionidae.
GCGGAAACAGUCUCGGGUUUCGCAGAAGGUGUCCAAGCUAGCGCGGAUCCGCCGGCUGCCCGUGGCCAGGCCACGCCGAGGCCGGCAAAGCCCGCGUGGACGCUGCUCGGCAGCUGCUCCGGCCUCUCCGGAAAGCGCCCCACGGAGUCCUGGGCUCUCGUAGGCAGGAACGGUUUGACUCCUCGCCUCUCCCCGGAUUAAAGCAAACAGGAAAACAGAAUGUCCUUUGGUGGAGUCUUAUGACACUCGCUAUGUAUAUGUAAACGGAUAUUCUUUGAUGCCGGCGGCGCGUCCGUCCGCCCUCACAGAGAAAUCUCACAACAGAACGAACGGGAGAGGACAAAGCAAAGCGUGUCAGUCUGGGCCGCGCGUGGAACGAGGGGGAAACGCGAACAGAUUGUCUGGUAACACAAAUCAUCGGCAAGAAUACAAAAAAUCUACAUAGUACAGUAUCUCAAGAAAAAUAACUUCAUUUGAAUACAAAAGGAUAGAUACACUUUCUCCUUCCCCCGGAGGGCCGGCCGGCCGGCUGGGCCUGGGGCAGGG